RNAcentral lists this ribosomal RNA (206 nucleotides) under uncultured bacterium. RNAcentral describes it as "partial 16S ribosomal RNA". It matches the Rfam family "Bacterial small subunit ribosomal RNA", at positions 524 to 729 of the family's 1533-position model. The record is from RNAcentral.
UACGUAGGGUGCAAGCGUUAAUCGGAAUUACUGGGCGUAAAGCGUGCGCAGGCGGCUUUGCAAGACAGAUGUGAAAUCCCCGGGCUCAACCUGGGAACUGCAUUUGUGACUGCAUGGCUGGAGUGCGGCAGAGGGGGAUGGAAUUCCGCGUGUAGCAGUGAAAUGCGUAGAUAUGCGGAGGAACACCGAUGGCGAAGGCAGGCUUA